UGGGGGAUAUUGCACAAUGGGCGAAAGCCUGAUGCAGCGACGCCGCGUGGGGGAUGAAGGCCUUCGGGUUGUAAACUUCUUUUGCUCUGAACAAGGCAUGCUAAUGGGUGUGUUGAGUGUAGGGGUUGAUUAGCGCCGGCUAACUACGUGCCAGCAGCCGCGGUAAUACGUAGGGCGCGAGCGUUGUCCGGAAUUAUUGGGCGUAAAGGGCUUGUAGGUGGCUGGUUGCGUCUGUCGUGAAAGCUCAUGGCUUAACUGUGGGUUUGCGGUGGGUACGGGCUGGCUUGAGUGCAGUAGGGGAGGCUGGAAUUCCUGGUGUAGCGGUGGAAUGCGCAGAUAUCAGGAGGAAUACCGGUGGCGAAGGCGGGUCUCUGGGCUGUUACUGCCACUGAGGAGCGAAAGCAUGGGGAGCGAACAGG
Molecule: ribosomal RNA, 419 nt
Filed under: bacterium
Lineage: Bacteria
Description: partial 16S ribosomal RNA
Rfam family: Bacterial small subunit ribosomal RNA
Source: RNAcentral